RNAcentral lists this long non-coding RNA (2863 nucleotides) under Falco tinnunculus (common kestrel). Its description in RNAcentral is "lncRNA (ENSFTIG00000006905.1)". The record is from RNAcentral. Lineage: Eukaryota; Metazoa; Chordata; Aves; Falconiformes; Falconidae.
UCGUGCCCGGCUCCAAGAUGGUUGUCAAUGGAGGCUCUCCGGAGACAGCCUAGCGGGUCAGUCCGAACACUGCGGCCCGGUAGGCUGGGCGAUGCCCCGCCCCAGCCAGCCCGCCGCUCGCAUUGGCGCUGCCGAGGCCCAGGCCUGCUCUCAUUGGCUAGAGAGGUGUCGCUCCCGCUCUCUCCGCUCCAGGGCCCGGGGAACUAUUUUCCAUUCGGCGGAGGGGGGCCGGGGAGGGGGCUCCGCUGAAUCGCUCCGUCCGCGCCGAGCGGCAGGCGGCGGGCCCGGGCGGGGCGGCGGAGGAUGCUGCGGCCGUUGGGGCCGCCGGGACGGCGCUGAGGCGUCGCUGUCCCCGCCGCCGCGCAGCGUAAUCAUGUCCACAACUCGGAGAACGAAUCUAGCAAGCUCAUGUUGAGGUAUAAUCUCAAGACAAGAUACAGUGACUCAUAUGCUUUUCUGGGUAAGAAGGGUAUCUAUAUCCUCUUGAGUUUGACAAAAACUAGUUAACCUCUUAAAUUUAACUUGUGAAAACUACAGUCUGUCAAGCCAGUAUGAUGGAGGUUUUGUGGGUGGGAGGGUUUGUUUGUUUUUUUAUAUUCUUGAAUCUUUCUGGGCAAGUGUAGAGAACUUUCCAGCUAUCUAACAGUCUAAAGACAUUCUAACCUAAUAGCGUAAUGGAAGAGCAGUAAUAAGCAAUCUUAGAAUAAAAGACACCACUAAAUAGUGUAUGACUGGUUAGAAAAGUAAUUCCAGUUCAUUGUCACAAAGAUAUGUACAGUUUCUAGCCUGAUUUCCCAAGGGAAUGGGGAUUAUAUACUCUCUUUUCGUUUUCCCUUCCCAAAAAUGUUCACCAUCUCUGUGACUAGGAAGAGAAAGAAGUGUACAACUUGAGAGAAAAGUGGGCAGAAGUGAACCUUAUAUACACUGUGUUGACAGGCUGGCAGCCAGACGUCAUGCGCUGCCUCCUGGUCAGUGUGGAUAUUCUGAGACACCGCAGACAGCUAUGGUUAUUGCCGUGGCACGAUACCUGGGUGUAUGGUUUCUACAAAUCUGUACGUGAGCUGACUUCGUUAGUUCUGCUGCUCUUAGAACUCCCCCGGUCCCUCAGCUUGGUCCAGACAACUCCAGGAAAAACAGAUUUAGGAUUUAUUUUUUUUGUUCAGGAAGACAUCGCUUGCUCAUGCGAUUACACAAUUUCACUUUCACGUAUGCACUGAACUCUAUAGCAUCUUCUGUGUAUAAGAUUUCUCUGCAAGUGUCUCCCUCCUUAAUAACUACUAGGGUGUUACUCAGAUUGUCAGUAGCACUGUGUUCCAGGUAGCUUGUACCGGUAGUCUCCAGAGAAUGUUAAGGCCUGAUUUCCCCACUUAUCCCCCCACCUCCCUGCAUCCACACUAAAUUCUUAAGGUUUAAUUUUAUGGGAUUGGAUGUAGAUACCUAGCUUGUUAGGUUUGCUGAAGUAUCUGAGGAGGGGGUGGGGGAGAAAGCCCUUUUUGCUUUCUGUUCCUGUAACAGGUGUUUCAAUUCACUGUCCUUUCAUGAUUUUCGUGUAAGCUGUACCUCUGACUCUCCCUGGUCUCAGUGGAUUCUGCUUAUAAAGUCGUGGGUUUACAGCUGUCCUUCUAUCUUAAGGGAUUUCUAGUUUGGAUUGCUAGAGUAUUGCUUACUGGUUUAUCAUCCACAUUAUUUCAUGAGACUCGGUGCGUGCAGUAACUGCUGCUGAUUCCUUCCUAGCUGUGAACAGAGAACAACUGCAGCAACAGGACUGUUGCUUCAAAAUACGGUGUCCAAAGAGCAAAGCAGUUUCCAUUAAGAGUUACAUUAGAUAAAGAUGACAUGUUUUAGUGAUUUAAGUUUAGCACUUCUCUCGGAACUUAAUUAGACCUAAUUUAGCUUGGCAUUGCCUGACUUUUUUUUAGUACGGAAUUAGCCUGUUUCUGUCUGUCCUAGGGCAGUCCUGUGUUUUUGGCAGUCUUGUUCCAGUUAUCAAUUUUGGUUUAUAAAGUAGUCGCAGAAUACACACUGCUAAUAUUUUUAUCUUUUUACUGUAUCUUCAUGAUUCACUGUCAUUGAAUUUCUGCUGUGGAGCUGCUUUUCUUUUUAAGUGCUCUUACUAAAGAUAGAACAGCUCCUUGGGCUCUUUCAUUCUUUUAUAUCUGUAAUAAAACCAGACAGUUUGGGGUUUUUUUUUUGUUUCAUAUGUAUGGCUUUUAUUAAUAUAAUGGAGACUUUAUAAUGUUAAAAUUCUGCUGAUACCUUACAGCCUUUCCUUGUCUUUUAGUGAUUUAAGAAUGCUUUCCUCCUAAAUUUCUGGUUUUGUGCUAAUUUUUUUAAUCUUGUCAGUUAAAGCUUGGAAUUUAUCUGACCUGCAGCUAGAGCUUUUGCUUUUAAGUGAUGUAUCUGGACGUUUGCGGUGCACUUCUUGGAUUUCACUAACAGCUUUCAUAGUUUGGAGUGAUUUGAACAGUUCUUUUUCAGGAUCUGUUUUAUUGCUGCUUAUUGGAAGCUUAUCAGGGAGUCAUACCUUACGUAUGACUUACAAAGUCUUCCUAGAACGAAGAGUUUUAGAUGGCAUAUUUCCUGUCCAUCAGAUACAACUAUGCAGACCUACAUAUGUGCCUACAGAAAAAUGGGAAGGCCUGCUUGUAAUUUCCCAAACAUUUUCUUCAUGGUGAUUUUUCUAAAUACCGAAGUGGUGGUGUGAUGCAUGUCACUUCCACAUAACCGUACAAACGCUGGGGCACUUUUUCAAAUGUGGUGUGUUCAAUUAACAGUUGUCUUGUGUCCGUAAUUUAAUUGAUAACUGAAGGUGUGUCCUCAUUUUUUUAAACUAUAUGUCUAUUUUAACAUUUCUUUUCCUCUU